GGAUGUGAGGGAGAUCUGGCUGCGACAUCUGUCACCCCACUGAUCACCAGGGUUGAUUCAGCUGAUCUGGCUGGCUAGUCGGGGGUCCCCUUCCUCCCUCAACGCUCCAUGUGUGUCCCUCCCAAAGCUGCACGCUUGGUCGGUCAAAGAGGACGGUCUUCCCUGAAUAGAGACGGACCGGUCUCGAGGGUUUUACGAGUUUCUGCGGUCCCAUUAGAACCUCCAAACAAGCUCUCAAGGACCAUGCUACCAAGAAACAAUCAAAGUGACCAGGGCUCUGUCCCACACAACCACUGCCCCCCCCCAACUUUUAAAAAAUAUUUAUUUCCUUUUGUU
Erinaceus europaeus (western European hedgehog) is the source of this 336-nucleotide unclassified non-coding RNA. Its record names the gene 7SK. It matches the Rfam family "7SK RNA". From Rfam's summary of the family: 7SK was discovered as an abundant small nuclear RNA in the mid-70s but a possible function has only recently been suggested. Two independent studies have found that 7SK RNA binds the CDK9/cyclin T complex (known as elongation factor P-TEFb). P-TEFb activates transcription by phosphorylating the C-terminal domain of RNA polymerase II. NCBI's taxonomy places the organism in Eukaryota, Metazoa, Chordata, Mammalia, Eulipotyphla, Erinaceidae. The record is from Ensembl.